This 100-nucleotide non-coding RNA is filed under the name human gut metagenome. RNAcentral's name for it is "Pyrrolysine insertion sequence mttB". It matches the Rfam family "Pyrrolysine insertion sequence mttB". The record is from RNAcentral. RNAcentral also lists the same sequence under 1 other name.
UAGGCUGACAGCAAAGUACCUGAUGCACAGGCCGCUCACGAGAAGACACUGACCGCAUUGAUGGCUGCCCAGGGUGGAGCCAACGUUAUAUACGGUGCAG